AGUGAACGCAGGCGGUAGGCCUAACACAUGCAAGUCGAACGGCAGCACAGUAAGAGCUUGCUCUUACGGGUGGCGAGUGGCGGACGGGUGAGGAAUACAUCGGAAUCUACUUUUUCGUGGGGGAUAACGUAGGGAAACUUACGCUAAUACCGCAUACGACCUACGGGUGAAAGCAGGGGAUCUUCGGACCUUGCGCGAUUGAAUGAGCCGAUGUCGGAUUAGCUAGUUGGCGGGGUAAAGGCCCACCAAGGCGACGAUCCGUAGCUGGUCUGAGAGGAUGAUCAGCCACACUGGAACUGAGACACGGUCCAGACUCCUACGGGAGGCAGCAGUGGGGAAUAUUGGACAAUGGGCGCAAGCCUGAUCCAGCCAUGCCGCGUGGGUGAAGAAGGCCUUCGGGUUGUAAAGCCCUUUUGUUGGGAAAGAAAAGCAGCAGGUUAAUACCCCGCUGUUCUGACGGUACCCAAAGAAUAAGCACCGGCUAACUUCGUG
This 492-nucleotide ribosomal RNA is filed under the name uncultured bacterium. Its description in RNAcentral is "partial 16S ribosomal RNA". It matches the Rfam family "Bacterial small subunit ribosomal RNA", at positions 29 to 507 of the family's 1533-position model. The record is from RNAcentral.